This 253-nucleotide ribosomal RNA is filed under the name uncultured bacterium. RNAcentral describes it as "partial 16S ribosomal RNA". It matches the Rfam family "Bacterial small subunit ribosomal RNA", at positions 524 to 776 of the family's 1533-position model. The record is from RNAcentral.
UACGUAGGUGGCAAGCGUUAUCCGGAUUUAUUGGGCGUAAAGGGAACGCAGGCGGUCUUUUAAGUCUGAUGUGAAGGCCUUCGGCUUAACCGGAGUAGUGCAUUGGAAACUGGGAGACUUGAGUGCAGAAGAGGAGAGUGGAACUCCAUGUGUAGCGGUGAAAUGCGUAGAUAUAUGGAAGAACACCAGUGGCGAAAGCGGCUCUCUGGUCUGUAACUGACGCUGAGGGUCGAAAGCGUGGGUAGCAAACAGG